RNAcentral lists this ribosomal RNA (346 nucleotides) under Mopalia porifera. Its description in RNAcentral is "eukaryotic LSU rRNA". It matches the Rfam family "Eukaryotic large subunit ribosomal RNA", at positions 649 to 965 of the family's 3401-position model. The record is from RNAcentral. Lineage: Eukaryota; Metazoa; Mollusca; Polyplacophora; Chitonida; Mopaliidae.
CCGUCUUGAAACACGGACCAAGGAGUCUAACAUGUGCGCGAGUCAUUGGGUCUGACUAAACCUAAAGGCGCAAUGAAAGUGAAGGCAGCCUCGGGUUUGCCUAGGUAGGAUCCUCUUCCGAGAAAGAGGAGGCGCACUACCGGCCCGUCUCGUCCGCAUYGCGGUGAGGCGGAGCGAGAGCGUACACGUUGGGACCCGAAAGAUGGUGAACUAUGCCUGAGUAGGACGAAGCCAGAGGAAACUCUGGUGGAAGUCCGUAGCGAUUCUGACGUGCAAAUCGAUCGUCGAACUUGGGUAUAGGGGCGAAAGACUAAUCGAACCGUCUAGUAGCUGGUUCCUUUCCGAA